This 488-nucleotide ribosomal RNA is filed under the name uncultured bacterium. RNAcentral's name for it is "partial 16S ribosomal RNA". It matches the Rfam family "Bacterial small subunit ribosomal RNA", at positions 28 to 507 of the family's 1533-position model. The record is from RNAcentral.
GACGGACGCUGGCGGCGUGCUUAACACAUGCAAGUCGAACGCGCCUGUCCUCUGGGUUUCUGGGGGGUGGGUGAGUGGCGAACGGGUGAGUAACACGUGAGUAACCUGCCCCCUUCUUCGGGAUAACGGUCUGAAAGGGCUGCUAAUACCGGGUAUUCACUGGUCUCCGCAUGGGGUCUGGUGGAAAGGUUUUUUUCUGGUGGGGGAUGGGCUCGCGGCCUAUCAGCUUGUUGGUGGGGUGAUGGCCCACCAAGGCUUUGACGGGUAGCCGGCCUGAGAGGGUGACCGGUCACAUUGGGACUGAGCUACGGCCCAGACUCCUACGGGAGGCAGCAGUGGGGAAUAUUGCACAAUGGGCGCAAGCCUGAUGCAGCGACGCCGCGUGAGGGAUGGAGGCCUUCGGGUUGUGAACCUCUUUCGCCCGUGGUCAAGCCGCGACGUGGGUCGUGGUGAGGGUAGUGGGUAAAGAAGCGCCGGCUAACUACGUG